This 392-nucleotide long non-coding RNA is filed under the name Callithrix jacchus (white-tufted-ear marmoset). RNAcentral describes it as "lncRNA (ENSCJAG00000079426.1)". Lineage: Eukaryota; Metazoa; Chordata; Mammalia; Primates; Cebidae. The record is from RNAcentral.
CAAGUGCCAAAGCAAAUCUGCUGACAUCUAAUCUGAUUGGUCUGUGCCUAAGUUCUACAAACUGCAUCUGGUUUAUGUCCUAGUUUUCCUGGGAAAUAUCCAAAAAAGUCUGCAAGAAUAAACCUAAAAGUGAUAAACAAAACAAUUCUUAAUUUGAAGAGUUGCUUCAUUUCACUGAGUAGAAGAUUUUAAUAAUGCUGCUGUUCAAGUACUUGUCUACCAUAGAAAUAUUGUGAAGAAAAAUUACUGUGAGUAAAUUUUCUGAGAAAAUUAAUUAGUUUUCUCGUGGUUUGUUCCUUGAUCCAUUGUAUUCCACAUGAGUAUUGUUGACAGUCUGUGGAAAGAUAUGGUUCUUGCUUCAGUGUAAUAAAAUAAAAAUCUUCCUUUGGUAU